UUUUAUGGAGAGUUUGAUCCUGGCUCAGGAUGAACGCUGGCGGCGUGCCUAAUACAUGCAAGUCGAGCGAACGGACGAGAAGCUUGCUUCUCUGAUGUUAGCGGCGGACGGGUGAGUAACACGUGGAUAACCUACCUAUAAGACUGGGAUAACUUCGGGAAACCGGAGCUAAUACCGGAUAAUAUUUUGAACCGCAUGGUUCAAAAGUAAAAGACGGUCUUGCUGUCACUUAUAGAUGGAUCCGCGCUGCAUUAGCUAGUUGGUAAGGUAACGGCUUACCAAGGCAACGAUGCAUAGCCGACCUGAGAGGGUGAUCGGCCACACUGGAACUGAGACACGGUCCAGACUCCUACGGGAGGCAGCAGUAGGGAAUCUUCCGCAAUGGGCGAAAGCCUGACGGAGCAACGCCGCGUGAGUGAUGAAGGUCUUCGGAUCGUAAAACUCUGUUAUUAGGGAAGAACAUAUGUGUAAGUAACUGUGCACAUCUUGACGGUACCUAAUCAGAAAGCCACGGCUAACUACGUGCCAGCAGCCGCGGUAAUACGUAGGUGGCAAGCGUUAUCCGGAAUUAUUGGGCGUAAAGCGCGCGUAGGCGGUUUUUUAAGUCUGAUGUGAAAGCCCACGGCUCAACCGUGGAGGGUCAUUGGAAACUGGAAAACUUGAGUGCAGAAGAGGAAAGUGGAAUUCCAUGUGUAGCGGUGAAAUGCGCAGAGAUAUGGAGGAACACCAGUGGCGAAGGCGACUUUCUGGUCUG
Molecule: ribosomal RNA, 754 nt
Filed under: Staphylococcus aureus
Lineage: Bacteria; Bacillati; Bacillota; Bacilli; Caryophanales; Staphylococcaceae
Description: bacterial SSU rRNA
Rfam family: Bacterial small subunit ribosomal RNA
Source: RNAcentral